RNAcentral lists this ribosomal RNA (253 nucleotides) under uncultured bacterium. RNAcentral describes it as "partial 16S ribosomal RNA". It matches the Rfam family "Bacterial small subunit ribosomal RNA", at positions 524 to 776 of the family's 1533-position model. The record is from RNAcentral.
UACGUAGGGCGCAAGCGUUGUCCGGAAUUAUUGGGCGUAAAGAGCUCGUAGGUGGUCUGUUGCGUCCGCUGUGAAAACCCAGGGCUUAACCCUGGGCUGGCAGUGGAUACGGGCAGACUAGAGGUAGGUAGGGGAGAAUGGAAUUCCCGGUGUAGCGGUGAAAUGCGCAGAUAUCAGGAGGAACACCGAUGGCGAAGGCAGGUCUCUGGGCUGUAACUGACGCUGAGGAGCGAAAGCAUGGGGAGCGAACAGG